RNAcentral lists this ribosomal RNA (385 nucleotides) under Theileria sp. MA-2012. Its description in RNAcentral is "SSU rRNA". It matches the Rfam family "Eukaryotic small subunit ribosomal RNA", at positions 475 to 900 of the family's 1831-position model. The record is from RNAcentral. Lineage: Eukaryota; Apicomplexa; Aconoidasida; Piroplasmida; Theileriidae.
AAAUAACAAUACGGGGCUUAAUGUCUUGUAAUUGGAAUGAUGGGAAUUUAAACCUCUUCCAGAGUAUCAAUUGGAGGGCAAGUCUGGUGCCAGCAGCCGCGGUAAUUCCAGCUCCAAUAGCGUAUAUUAAAAUUGUUGCAGUUAAAAAGCUCGUAGUUGAAUUUCUGCUGCAUUGUUUCUUCUCAUGUCGAGUGAUUCAUUGUGGCUUAUUUCGGAUUGUUUUUUACUUUCCGGAUGAUUACUUUGAGAAAAUUAGAGUGCUCAAAGCAGGCUUUUGCCUUGAAUAGUUUAGCAUGGAAUAAUAAAGUAGGACUUUGGUUCUAUUUUGUUGGUUUUAGGUACCAAAGUAAUGGUUAAUAGGAACAGUUGGGGGCAUUCGUAUUUA